Molecule: long non-coding RNA, 120 nt
Organism: Maniola jurtina (meadow brown)
Lineage: Eukaryota; Metazoa; Arthropoda; Insecta; Lepidoptera; Nymphalidae
Exons: 3
Source: RefSeq, a predicted model, not a curated record
UUUAUGAAGAACCCUUUUCAGGUCAAGGCCUCCUCCAGAGAACUCCAUUUUGCUCUGUCUUUGGCUUUGAGCAUCCAGUUUGGUCCCGCCACUUUUUUUAUCCAACAGAUCACUUUGUUG